GGGGAUAUAACUCAGUUGGUAGAGUGCUUGCCUUGCAUGCACAAGGCCCUGGGUUCAAUCCCCACCAUCCAUA
This 73-nucleotide transfer RNA is filed under the name Ictidomys tridecemlineatus (thirteen-lined ground squirrel). RNAcentral's name for it is "Spermophilus tridecemlineatus (thirteen-lined ground squirrel) tRNA". It matches the Rfam family "tRNA". Rfam says of the family: Transfer RNA (tRNA) molecules are approximately 80 nucleotides in length. Their secondary structure includes four short double-helical elements and three loops (D, anti-codon, and T loops). Lineage: Eukaryota; Metazoa; Chordata; Mammalia; Rodentia; Sciuridae. The record is from Rfam by way of RNAcentral.